RNAcentral lists this ribosomal RNA (1343 nucleotides) under uncultured bacterium. RNAcentral's name for it is "16S ribosomal RNA". It matches the Rfam family "Bacterial small subunit ribosomal RNA", at positions 28 to 1378 of the family's 1533-position model. The record is from RNAcentral.
GACGAACGCUUGCGGCGUGCUUAACACAUGCAAGUCGAACGGAAAGGCCCUGCUUUUGUGGGGUGCUCGAGUGGCGAACGGGUGAGUAACACGUGAGUAACCUGCCCUUGACUUUGGGAUAACUUCAGGAAACUGGGGCUAAUACCGGAUAGGAGCUCCUGCUGCAUGGUGGGGGUUGAAAAGUUUCGGCGGUUGGGGAUGGACUCGCGGCUUAUCAGCUUGUUGGUGGGGUAGUGGCUUACCAAGGCUUUGACGGGUAGCCGGCCUGAGAGGGUGACCGGCCACAUUGGGACUGAGAUACGGCCCAGACUCCUACGGGAGGCAGCAGUGGGGAAUAUUGCACAAUGGGCGGAAGCCUGAUGCAGCAACGCCGCGUGCGGGAUGACGGCCUUCGGGUUGUAAACCGCUUUCGCCUGUGACGAAGCGUGAGUGACGGUAAUGGGUAAAGAAGCACCGGCUAACUACGUGCCAGCAGCCGCGGUGAUACGUAGGGUGCGAGCGUUGUCCGGAUUUAUUGGGCGUAAAGGGCUCGUAGGUGGUUGAUCGCGUCGGAAGUGUAAUCUUGGGGCUUAACCCUGAGCGUGCUUUCGAUACGGGUUGACUUGAGGAAGGUAGGGGAGAAUGGAAUUCCUGGUGGAGCGGUGGAAUGCGCAGAUAUCAGGAGGAACACCAGUGGCGAAGGCGGUUCUCUGGGCCUUUCCUGACGCUGAGGAGCGAAAGCGUGGGGAGCGAACAGGCUUAGAUACCCUGGUAGUCCACGCUGUAAACGGUGGGUACUAGGUGUGGGGUCCAUUCCACGGGUUCCGUGCCGUAGCUAACGCUUUAAGUACCCCGCCUGGGGAGUACGGCCGCAAGGCUAAAACUCAAAGGAAUUGACGGGGCCCCGCACAAGCGGCGGAGCAUGCGGAUUAAUUCGAUGCAACGCGUAGAACCUUACCUGGGUUUGACAUGGAUCGGGAGUGCUCAGAGAUGGGUGUGCCUCUUUUGGGGUCGGUUCACAGGUGGUGCAUGGCUGUCGUCAGCUCGUGUCGUGAGAUGUUGGGUUAAGUCCCGCAACGAGCGCAACCCUUGUUCACUGUUGCCAGCACGUUAUGGUGGGGACUCAGUGGAGACCGCCGGGGUCAACUCGGAGGAAGGUGGGGAUGACGUCAAGUCAUCAUGCCCCUUAUGUCCAGGGCUUCACGCAUGCUACAAUGGCUGGUACAGAGAGUGGCGAGCCUGUGAGGGUGAGCGAAUCUCGGAAAGCCGGUCUCAGUUCGGAUUGGGGUCUGCAACUCGACCUCAUGAAGUCGGAGUCGCUAGUAAUCGCAGAUCAGCAACGCUGCGGUGAAUACGUUCCCGGG